RNAcentral lists this ribosomal RNA (301 nucleotides) under uncultured bacterium. RNAcentral describes it as "partial 16S ribosomal RNA". It matches the Rfam family "Bacterial small subunit ribosomal RNA", at positions 509 to 808 of the family's 1533-position model. The record is from RNAcentral.
CAGUCGCCGCGGGAAUACGGAGGGUGCAAGCGUUAUCCGGAUUCACUGGGUUUAAAGGGUGCGUAGGCGGGCAGGUAAGUCAGUGGUGAAAUCUUCGAGCUUAACUCGGAAACUGCCGUUGAUACUAUCUGUCUUGAAUAACGUUGAGGUGAGCGGAAUAUGUCAUGUAGCGGUGAAAUGCUUAGAUAUGACAUAGAACACCGAUUGCGAAGGCAGCUCACUAAACGCUCAUUGACGCUGAGGCACGAAAGCGUGGGGAUCAAACAGGAUUAGAUACCCCCGUAGUCCCCUGUCUCUUAUA